Non-coding RNA from Musca domestica (house fly), 46 nucleotides. The record is from Rfam. Lineage: Eukaryota; Metazoa; Arthropoda; Insecta; Diptera; Muscidae.
UUGAAGGAUUUUUUAAAAUCUACAAAUAAAACUUUAAACUUUGUAU